Molecule: ribosomal RNA, 468 nt
Filed under: uncultured bacterium
Lineage: Bacteria
Description: partial 16S ribosomal RNA
Rfam family: Bacterial small subunit ribosomal RNA
Source: RNAcentral
GACGAACGCUGGCGGCGUGCUUAACACAUGCAAGUCGAACGGAAAGGCCCUGCUCUUGUUGGGUUCUCGAUUGGCGAACGGGGGAGUAACACGUGAGUAACCUGUCCCUGUCUUUGGGAUAACUUUAGGAGACUGGGGCUAAUACCGCAUAGGAGCUCCUGCUGCAUGUUGGUGGUUGGAAAAUUUCGGCUGUUGGGGAUGGACUCGCGGCUUAUGAGCUUGUUUGUGAGGUAGUUGCUUACCAAGGCUUUGACGGGUAGCCCGCCUGAGAGGGUGAACGGCGUCAAGGGGCCUACGGUAGGGCGCAGAAGGGAACCGGAGGCAGUGGUGGGGAACCUUGCGGAAUGGGCGGACGCCUGAUGCAGAAACGCCGCGUGCGGGAUGCCGUCCUACGGGUUAUAAACAAAUUUCGAAGUUGACGAGGCGUGAGUGACGGUACUUGAUCAGAAAGCCACGGCUAACUACGUG